CACAUGCAAGUCGAGGGGCAGCAUGGUCUUAGCUUGCUAAGGCCGAUGGCGACCGGCGCACGGGUGAGUAACACGUAUCCAACCUGCCGUCUACUCUUGGACAGCCUUCUGAAAGGAAGAUUAAUACAAGAUGGCAUCAUGAGUCCGCAUGUUCACAUGAUUAAAGGUAUUCCGGUAGACGAUGGGGAUGCGUUCCAUUAGAUAGUAGGCGGGGUAACGGCCCACCUAGUCUUCGAUGGAUAGGGGUUCUGAGAGGAAGGUCCCCCACAUUGGAACUGAGACACGGUCCAAACUCCUACGGGAGGCAGCAGUGAGGAAUAUUGGUCAAUGGGCGAGAGCCUGAACCAGCCAAGUAGCGUGAAGGAUGACUGCCCUAUGGGUUGUAAACUUCUUUUAUAAAGGAAUAAAGUCGGGUAUGGAUACCCGUUUGCAUGUACUUUAUGAAUAAGGAUCGGCUAAACUCCGUGCCAGCAGCCGCGGUAAUACGGAGGAUCCGAGCGUUAUCCGGAUU
Molecule: ribosomal RNA, 511 nt
Filed under: uncultured Bacteroidales bacterium
Lineage: Bacteria; Pseudomonadati; Bacteroidota; Bacteroidia; Bacteroidales
Description: bacterial SSU rRNA
Rfam family: Bacterial small subunit ribosomal RNA
Source: RNAcentral